GAACCGAGCGAACGUUGUUCGGAAUCACUGGGCUUAAAGGGCGCGUAGGCGGCUUACCAAGUCAGGGGUGAAAUUUUGCGGCUUAACCGUAACAGUGCCUUUGAUACUGGUAGGCUCGAGGGAGAUAGGGGUCUGCGGAACUUCUGGUGGAGCGGUGAAAUGCGUUGAUAUCAGAAGGAACGCCGGUGGCGAAAGCGGCAGACUGGAUCUCUUCUGACGCUGAGGCGCGAAAGCCAGGGGAGCAAACGGGAUUAGAUACCCCGGUAGUCCUGGCCCUAAACGAUGGGUACUAGAUUGUAAGCGUGACAUGCGCCUACAGUCGAAGCAAAAGUGUUAAGUACCCCGCCUGGGGAGUAUGGUCGCAAGGCUGAA
Molecule: ribosomal RNA, 372 nt
Filed under: uncultured bacterium
Lineage: Bacteria
Description: bacterial SSU rRNA
Rfam family: Bacterial small subunit ribosomal RNA
Source: RNAcentral